Molecule: ribosomal RNA, 442 nt
Filed under: uncultured bacterium
Lineage: Bacteria
Description: partial 16S ribosomal RNA
Rfam family: Bacterial small subunit ribosomal RNA
Source: RNAcentral
CCUACGGGGUGCAGCAGUAGGGAAUUUUUCACAAUGGGCGAAAGCCUGAUGGAACAACGCCGCGUGCAGGAUGAAGGCCUUCGGGUUGUAAACUGCUUUUAUAAGCGAGAAAUAUGAUGGUAACUUAUGAAUAAGGAUCGGCUAACUACGUGCCAGCAGCCGCGGUCAUACGUAGGAUCCGAGCAUUAUCCGGAGUGACUGGGUGUAAAGAGUUGCGUAGGUGGCAUAAUAAGUAGCUAGUGAAAUCUGGUGGCUCAACCAUUCAGACUAUUAGCUAAACUGUUAAGCUCGAGACCGUUAGGGGUAACUGGAAUUUCUAGUGUAGGAGUGAAAUCCGUAGAUAUUAGAAGGAACACCAAUAGCGUAGGCAGGUUGCUGGGACGGUUCUGACACUAAGGCACGAAAGCGUAGGGAGCAAACGGGAUUAGAUACCCGAGUAGUC